Long non-coding RNA from Oenanthe melanoleuca, 2608 nucleotides. RefSeq lists it as uncharacterized. The transcript is spliced from 3 exons. NCBI's taxonomy places the organism in Eukaryota, Metazoa, Chordata, Aves, Passeriformes, Muscicapidae. The record is from RefSeq and is a predicted model, not a curated record.
GUAAAUAAUCGUGCAGGGGGAGGCGGGGGAAGGGGUGAAUUCAGCAAUGUUAAAAGCUAAACAACAGAUCUAUCUCCGGACGCUGCUGCUUCACUCAAUUGCAACUAAUAACCCAUUAAAGACAGCGCAGGGGGAACCGAAUUCUCUCCUGCAAAGCGACAUAAAUCCAGCGAAAACCCAUUAAACCGCCGCCACCGCCACCAAGCCACGCAGCACUACACACCACAGCAAACAACAGGUAUACAACACAAUAGGGCUGGUUUUCCUGGUUACCUCCUCGGGAUCCAGUGUGGCACAAAGCACUGGUGAAGGCGAUGGUUACUGCUGUCAAUCUUGGCAAUCAAUGUGAGCGGCCAUGUCGUAAGUAUUCAAAGCAUUUCCCGUCGUGCAACAUCAGAAAGUGAGUGGCCAGGGCAUUGAUCUGAGGAAGGCAAAAGGAGGCAGGGCUCCCCCGCCCAGACAGCACAGGCAAGAUGAGACAACACAGGGAGAGAGAGGAGGGAGAGGGGAAGGGAGGGAGAGACACACACAGAGAGAGAGAGAGAGAGAGGCUGGGAGCGAGCGGGGAGAGCAACAACUGCGGAGAAAGUGAGCACAAAACAGAAAGUGAAAUCGGCGCGGGCUGCCAGCCGCAUCCCCGCGCAGCUAUCACCACUCACAGGGCCAUUAGACACAUGAAACCCUACACCGCUCCGCUCCGCUAAUGACCACUGAUUGCCCGGAGUGGUGAGGAAAGUGAACACCCGCCGUGCGGAUCCGUACACACGUGCCGAGAGACAAGAAAGCGCUUUCACUCGGAGUGUUACCCCACGUUCAGAAACCGCGUUUGGAAUUACUGCCCUUGCUUUGGCUUGGUGAUGGCUGGAGGCAGAUGCUGAGGAGGGAUGCUGAGCUGCUGGGGGUCCCUGCUCAGCGAAGGGACCGCAGGCGCUCACACCACGUCGGGGCACUUACCUGUGCACAGCUGUCAUGGCAUUUUGCGCCGUGUGUCUCACUAAUUGCGUUAAAGUAAAGCAAUAUUCAACAAGCGAGGCAACCUGUCUGUGUGCUGAGUUGUACGUACCGCAUCUUUAACCUGAGCAGCGAACCUGCAACUCCUGGAGAGUUGGCGGAACAGUCUCAAAAGUUUUGGAUUCAAAGGGCAAGAAAUUUCACUUUAAAAGUCAUUCACUCACUUCUAAACUGCCCUCUCACCCCACUUAAUGCCGGACAAUUAAGAGGCAUGUUUAUAAAUUCCCUCUGCGGACACUGUCCGACAAUGAAGACUUGUUAUAGGCUUGCUAAGGAUGUUCAGAGAAACUUUUGCGAAAUAAUCAACAGCAUCUGAGAGAAAGCUGAAGGUAAAGAAGUCAAAGCCUGAUAAUCCGACUGGAAAAAAGUUUUGUUAGACUAGAUAGAAGUAAAAUACUGCACGUUUCUUCAAAAGCAAACCCAUCAGCUGAUACGAGUUCUCCUAGAACAAGAACCUCUGGCGAACUCCUCCAAAUUUAGGGGACGGUUGCAUUUUGCAACACUCAAAGCUAAAGAUCUGCCUGAAAACAGAAAUUCUGAAUUCCUUACAGCGUCAUCUGCCAACAAAAUGUAUUGUCUUGGGAGAAAGAGUAUCAAGGAGAUUUUAAUUUCAUUUUAAACUGUGCAUCAUCUUGAUAGCGAAGGAAAAAGCUGCAGCAACAAUCUCCCCGCUCCACGCCCCCGCCGAUCAAAAAAAAAAAAAAAAAAAAAAAAAAAAAAAAAAAAAGGGGGGGGGAAGAGAGAACUGGAAAAACCACAUAAACUUUUACAAAGAAAAUAAAAGCAAGUUCGACAUGAAAACCCCUUCCUGUCUCGGAAAGUUCAUUUUAAAGGUCCCCUCUGUAAAUCUAAAGUGCAAACACCAGGCUAAGGUAGUGAGUGGCUGGAAUUUGCAUGCUGAUAAGAGAAGGCUGUUGUACUUACAGUGACAGAGGGCAGGCUGCGGAAGAAAAGCUGUUUGUGUUAGCCUGAGAGUCACCCAGGGCUGCAAUGAGAGGAGAAGAGAGGAGUGGGAGUGCCAAGCUGGAUACACCUUCACCGCAUCUCAUCACAUCUGCCAGCCUCUCUCUCCCUCUCUCUUUCAUUUCCACAUUCCCUUUGUUCCUGAAAAAAAAAAUCUACACGUCACAUCAGUCCCCAGAUGCAGUCUACACCAAAGAAAAAAAAAAUGAAUAAUUCAAUCAAACUGUGCAUAGUCUCUAAGGCAAUAAAUCUAUUGCACUUAAAGAAACGAAGGGUAAUUACCGCUAUAGAAUUAGAAUAAGGCCGGAGCGCGCAGGGAUCUCAGGGUCUGUAAACUCCACGGUCAAAUAAAGUUUCAUUUAUUUAAUCCUUUGACAACCCCAAUGUAAACUAAAGGGGAGGAUCAGAACUUAUUCCGGUUGGGUUUGAGAACGCUUGAAGUGAAUGUUAUGAAAGGAGAGCGCCCGUGGUCUGUGACAAACACAAUGCAAGGGAGUAGAAGUGUUUCACUGCAUCACCUCCAGGGUCCGUUCCCCCCUCCCUAAUGAAGAGCAGACCACACUCCCACUUCCACCGGCUCCUGCUGCUCGCUGCAAGUGCAGCGGGGAUCGCUGGCAGCCAGCAGCCGCCUUAC